Molecule: ribosomal RNA, 459 nt
Filed under: uncultured bacterium
Lineage: Bacteria
Description: partial 16S ribosomal RNA
Rfam family: Bacterial small subunit ribosomal RNA
Source: RNAcentral
CCUACGGGUGGCAGCCGUGAGGAAUAUUGGUCAAUGGACGGAAGUCUGAACCAGCCAUGCCGCGUGCAGGAAGACGGCUCUAUGAGUUGUAAACUGCUUUUGUACAAGGGUAAACCUGAAUACGUGUAUUCAGCUGAAAGUACUGUACGAAUAAGGCUCGGCUAACUCCGUGCCAGCAGCCGCGGUAAUACGGAGGAUCCAAGCGUUAUCCGGAUUUAGUGGGUUUAAUGGGUGCGUAGGCGGAUUGAUAAGUUAGAGGUGAAAUGUCCGAGCUUAACUCGGGAACUGCCUCUAAUACUGUUGAGCUAGAGAGUAGAUGCGGUAGGCGGAAUGUAUGGUGUAGCGGUGAAAUGCUUAGAGAUCAUACAGAACACCGAUUGCGAAGGCAGCUUACCAAUCUAUAUCUGACGUUGAGGCACGAAAGCGUGGGGAGCAAACAGGAUUAGAUACCGAGUAGUC